GACGAACGCUGGCGGCGUGCUUAGCACAUGCAAGUCGUACGGUAAGGCCCUUUCGGGGGUACACGAGUGGCGAACGGGUGAGUAACACGUGAGUAACCUGCCCACAACUUUGGGAUAACGCUAGGAAACUGGUGCUAAUACUGGAUAUGUGCUCCUGCUGCAUGGUGGGGGUUGGAAAGCUCCGGCGGUUGUGGAUGGACUCGCGGCCUAUCAGCUUGUUGGUGGGGUAGUGGCCUACCAAGGCGGCGACGGGUAGCCGGCCUGAGAGGGUGACCGGCCACAUUGGGACUGAGAUACGGCCCAGACUCCUACGGGAGACAGCAGUGGGGAAUAUUGCACAAUGGGCGCAAGCCUGAUGCAGCAACGCCGCGUGCGGGAUGACGGCCUUCGGGUUGUAAACCGCUUUCAGCAGGGACGAAGCUUUUUGUGACGGUACCUGCAGAAGAAGCACCGGCUAACUACGUG
RNAcentral lists this ribosomal RNA (465 nucleotides) under uncultured bacterium. RNAcentral describes it as "partial 16S ribosomal RNA". It matches the Rfam family "Bacterial small subunit ribosomal RNA", at positions 28 to 507 of the family's 1533-position model. The record is from RNAcentral.